CGCAAUGGGAAACGAGCCUGACGCAGCAUGCCGCGUGAGUGAAGAAGGUUUUCGGAUCGUAAAGCUCUGUUAUCGGGGAAGAAAAAAAGACGGUACCCAAGAAUGAAAGUCCCGGCUAACUACGUGCCAGCAGCCGCGGUAAUAUUCGUGC
Molecule: ribosomal RNA, 151 nt
Filed under: uncultured bacterium
Lineage: Bacteria
Description: partial 16S ribosomal RNA
Rfam family: Bacterial small subunit ribosomal RNA
Source: RNAcentral